RNAcentral lists this long non-coding RNA (240 nucleotides) under Nicotiana benthamiana. RNAcentral's name for it is "long non-coding RNA (NBEN_LNC001095)". Lineage: Eukaryota; Viridiplantae; Streptophyta; Magnoliopsida; Solanales; Solanaceae. The record is from RNAcentral.
UAUUGAGUUUCGGGGGUGGGGAGAUAAAGUUGUUAGAGAUUUUGUCUUUGAGGAAGAACAUGAGGAAGAACAUGAGGAAGAACAUGUGUCUUUCCCUCAAGUUGUUGAUCUUGGUCUUCAUGACAAGGAUCACACAACUCCGGUUCAAGACAAUCUCGAAAAUCUCCCCCAUCAGGGCCCUAAUAUAACUAAUGAAAAUCAAACUCAACAACCUCAAGAAACUGAAAUGCCAUUAAGGAG